Molecule: ribosomal RNA, 490 nt
Filed under: uncultured bacterium
Lineage: Bacteria
Description: partial 16S ribosomal RNA
Rfam family: Bacterial small subunit ribosomal RNA
Source: RNAcentral
AUUGAACGCUGGCGGCAGGCCUAACACAUGCAAGUCGAACGGUAACAGGAAGAAGCUUGCUUCUUUGCUGAUGAGUGGCGGACGGGUGAGUAAUGUCUGGGAAACUGCCUGAUGGAGGGGGAUAACUACUGGAAACGGUAGCUAAUACCGCAUAACGUCGCAAGACCAAAAAGGGGGACCUUCGGGCCUCUUGCCAUCGGAUGUGCCCAGAUGGGAUUAGCUAGUAGGUGGGGUAACGGCUCACCUAGGCGACGAUCCCUAGCUGGUCUGAGAGGAUGACCAGCCACACUGGAACUGAGACACGGUCCAGACUCCUACGGGAGGCAGCAGUGGGGAAUAUUGCACAAUGGGCGCAAGCCUGAUGCAGCCAUGCCGCGUGUAUGAAGAAGGCCUUCGGGUUGUAAAGUACUUUCAGCGGGGAGGAAGGGAGUAAAGUUAAUACCUUUGCUCAUUGACGUUACCCGCAGAAGAAGCACCGGCUAACUCCGUG